GAAGAUCAGAAGUUCAAAGUCAUUUUUAAUAUAUUUUAUCUAGUGAAUUUGACGUCAGCCUGGGCUAUGUAGUGUCAAAAAAAAAAAACAACCCAAAACUCAGUUACCAUCUUGAUUAUGCCACAACGCUGGGGAGGAGGCAGCAGGGCUGUGGUCUCAUGGGAGCACACCAGAUUCCAGCGCAGGCUGGACAUGCCAGGACCACGCUGCUUAGGGCAGGUCGCCUCUAAAGCUGUGUGUGACCUGUCCCUCCCUCACAGUGUUGUAAAGACUUGAAGAAAUGAGGCCCCCAGUCAUGCAUAGCCCAGGUGCUAACCGUAGAUCAGAAAGCAAACAACCACUCCUGCUCAACACCAGCUAUUCUGGAGCAGAGGGUAAGACCAAGGGAGGACAGGUUCUGGGUGGACGGUCCAAGAAGGAGCUGAGAACAGACACAGCUAGGCUUUAGCCCAAGGUGUCUGUCCCCAAGUGUCACAUUGCCCCUGCCUGCCCCUGAUAGCCCCAGCCUCUGUCCUUCUUCCCCCAGGGGCCAAAGGAAGCAAACACAUUCCCACAACCCCAGCAGAAGCUAUCCACCUGCAAUAGGCCCCUUAUGCCUCUGCCGCGUCUGGGACAGGCUCACUCCUAAAGAGUGCUCCUUGUGGCCACUUACACACGAAGAAAACCUGGCUCUGACCUGGUGAGGGUUGUCCCCCAAAGCACGGGUUUCCUGCGACUUGAGACCACGUGUCACCAGGUCUGAAAAAGUGCUUCCCCAGGGGGCAAAUGGACCAGCCUCUCCAGCAGCAAAGCUGAGUCUACAGGGGACAAAAAGAAGAAGAAGGAGAAGAAGCAGAAUAGAAGAGACAAAGCAACAGAGGAGGGGGGAAAGAAAAAAGAAAAAAAAAAAAAAAAAGCCCUUAACCACAGAAGACAGGAUCACUCCCACGAUGCAAUUCCACAUCCAACCACAGGAUGUCGCCACAGCCAGAGAUUCCUAGCAGCAGCAGCCAUGGCUAGAGAUGCCUCCAAAGCACCCAGCAACAGUUUCCAAAGCACAGCUGGCUUACACACCCUGGAGUUGAGAGCUCUGCCUGGGAAGCAGUUGCAGGAAACACUGGAUCCGGGGAGAAGCCUCCCAUAAGACCAGGGUGGAUCACAGGGGCAAGGGACCACGGCCUGGUGGAAGUCACCUGAGGGGACCACAGCCUGUGGAAGUCACCUGCAAUUCCAGUGCUGGGGAGGCAGAAACAGAUGGAUCCCUGGGACUCAUUAGCCAGGCAUCCUAGCCUAAUUGGUAACUCUCAGGCCAGUGAGAGAGAUUGUCUCAAAAAGUGCUGGGCACCUAAGGACCACCCGAGGUCCCCUCACCUUCACACACAUGUAAACAAACACAAGGGCCAACAGAAAGGGCUGAGCAUCACCGUCCUGGAACAGUGCAGAGUUCCCAUGGGAGUUUACCCAGGAACUCAGCUCCAGGAAACCAGGGUACCCUUCUCCAGACCCAAUGCUCAGGGAGAUGUCUGGACCAAGAUGUUCCACCAAUGCUGACUGGAGUCAAGGUGUGCACCAAGUGUUGUAUGCAAUGCAAGCAUAAAGGGGCCUCAUACCUGCCUGAAAUACAGCAGGAAGCAAAGCUGACCUGAGACAGGGGGUAGGGGUAGGGGUCUGGUGGAGGAUAGGUGUUUGAGAUAGGCCAGGGAGCAGGUAAAGCUGACCACUGUCAAUCAUAGUAAUGGCUGCCCUGUGAAAUGGACAUGGACUCAAAAGCAUUUGAAUUUGUUCAUAACCCUCCUACGUCUGCUCAAGAGAACAAGGCUUAAAGAAGUUAAUAAAUUCAUCUUAGACUGAA
Long non-coding RNA from Peromyscus californicus insignis, 1831 nucleotides. RefSeq lists it as uncharacterized. Lineage: Eukaryota; Metazoa; Chordata; Mammalia; Rodentia; Cricetidae. The record is from RefSeq and is a predicted model, not a curated record. The transcript has 2 exons.